AGGAAGGUGGGGAUGACGUCAAAUCAGCACGGCCCUUACGUCCGGGGCUACACACGUGUUACAAUGGGGGGUACAGAGGGCCGCUACCACGCGAGUGGAUGCCAAUCCCCAAAACCUCUCUCAGUUCGGACUGGAGUCUGCAACCCGACUCCACGAAGCUGGAUUCGCUAGUAAUCGCGCAUCAGCCACGGCGCGGUGAAUACGUUCCCGGGCCUUGUACACACCGCCCGUCAAGCCAUGGGAGCCGGGGGUACCUGAAGUGCGUAACCGCGAGGAGCGCCCUAGGGUAAAACUGGUGACUGGGGCUAAGUCGUAACAAGGUAGCCGUACCGGAAGGUGCGGCUGGAACACCUCCUUU
Molecule: ribosomal RNA, 358 nt
Filed under: Bacteroides thetaiotaomicron
Lineage: Bacteria; Pseudomonadati; Bacteroidota; Bacteroidia; Bacteroidales; Bacteroidaceae
Description: bacterial SSU rRNA
Rfam family: Bacterial small subunit ribosomal RNA
Source: RNAcentral